UCCUACGGGAGGCAGCAGUAGGGAAUCUUCGGCAAUGGACGAAAGUCUGACCGAGCAACGCCGCGUGAGUGAAGAAGGUUUUCGGAUCGUAAAACUCUGUUGGUAGAGAAGAACGUUGGUGAGAGUGGAAAGCUCAUCAAGUGACGGUAACUACCCAGAAAGGGACGGCUAACUACGUGCCAGCAGCCGCGGUAAUACGUAGGUCCCGAGCGUUGUCCGGAUUUAUUGGGCGUAAAGCGAGCGCAGGUGGUUUAUUAAGUCUGGUGUAAAAGGCAGUGGCUCAACCAUUGUAUGCAUUGGAAACUGGUAGACUUGAGUGCAGGAGAGGAGAGUGGAAUUCCAUGUGUAGCGGUGAAAUGCGUAGAUAUAUGGAGGAACACCGGUGGCGAAAGCGGCUCUCUGGCCUGUAACUGACACUGAGGCUCGAAAGCGUGGGGAGCAAACAGGAUUAGAAACCUGGAGUCCA
This 466-nucleotide ribosomal RNA is filed under the name uncultured bacterium. Its description in RNAcentral is "bacterial SSU rRNA". It matches the Rfam family "Bacterial small subunit ribosomal RNA", at positions 337 to 797 of the family's 1533-position model. The record is from RNAcentral.